CCCUUAGAUGUUCUGGGCCGCACGCGCGCUACACUGAUGCAUUCAACGAGUCCAACCUUGACCGAGAGGUCCGGGUAAUCUUUGAAACUGCAUCGUGAUGGGGCUAGAUUAUUGCAAUUAUUAAUCUUCAACGAGGAAUGCCUAGUAAGCGUGAUUCAUCAAAUCGCGUUGAUUACGUCCCUGCCCUUUGUACACACCGCCCGUCGCUCCUACCGAUUGAGUGUGUUGGUGAGGAGUUUGGAUUGGCCUCGGAAGGUGGUUCGCCACCGUCCGUAGCUGAGAAGUUCUCCAAACCGCCCCACUUAGAGGAGGGAGAAGUCGUAACA
Molecule: ribosomal RNA, 326 nt
Filed under: uncultured eukaryote
Lineage: Eukaryota
Description: partial 18S ribosomal RNA
Rfam family: Eukaryotic small subunit ribosomal RNA
Source: RNAcentral